AAGGGUGCGUAACACGUGGGGAAUCUGCCGAGAAGUGGGGGAUAGCUCGUCGAAAGGCGAAUUAAUACCGCAUGUGGUUAGGGAAGACAUCUUUCCGAUACCAAAGCCGGGGCAACCUGGCGCUUCUUGAUGACCCCGCGGCCUAUCAGCUAGUUGGUGAGGUAACGGCUCACCAAGGCUAUGACGGGUAGCUGGUCUGAGAGGACGACCAGCCACACUGGAACUGAGACACGGUCCAGACACCUACGGGUGGCAGCAGUCGAGAAUUUUUCUCAAUGGGGGAAACCCUGAAGGAGCGACGCCGCGUGGAGGAUGAAGGUCUUCGGAUUGUAAACUCCUGUCAUUAGGGAACAAUGUGCAGUCGUUAACUGCGAUUGCAUUGAUAGUACCUGAAGAGGAAGAGACGGCUAACUCUGUGCCAGCAGCCGCGGUAAUACAGAGGUCUCAAGCGUUGUUCGGAUUCAUUGGGCGUAAAGGGUGCGUAGGUGGCGCCAUAAGUCAGGUGUGAAAUCUCGGGGCUCAACCCCGAAACUGCACUUGAUACUGUGGUGCUCGAGUACUGGAGAGGAGAUUGGAAUU
RNAcentral lists this ribosomal RNA (579 nucleotides) under uncultured bacterium. RNAcentral's name for it is "bacterial SSU rRNA". It matches the Rfam family "Bacterial small subunit ribosomal RNA", at positions 102 to 668 of the family's 1533-position model. The record is from RNAcentral.